UGAGAAUGUGAUGAUCCGUUACCCUGUGC
This 29-nucleotide non-coding RNA is filed under the name Homo sapiens (human). The record is from RNAcentral. Lineage: Eukaryota; Metazoa; Chordata; Mammalia; Primates; Hominidae.